This 361-nucleotide ribosomal RNA is filed under the name Acanthamoeba genotype T5. RNAcentral describes it as "SSU rRNA". It matches the Rfam family "Eukaryotic small subunit ribosomal RNA", at positions 783 to 1084 of the family's 1831-position model. The record is from RNAcentral. Lineage: Eukaryota; Discosea; Longamoebia; Acanthamoebidae.
UUUUUCCUGCCACCGAAUACAUUAGCAUGGGAUAAUGGAAUAGGACCCUGACCUCCUAUUUUCAGUUGGUUUUGUUUACAGCGAGGUUAUAUCAGGGUAAUGAUUAAUAGGGAUAGUUGGGGGCAUUAAUAUUUAAUUGUCAGAGGUGAAAUUCUUGGAUUUAUGAAAGAUUAACUUCUGCGAAAGCGUUUGCCAAGGAUGUUUUCAUUAAUCAAGAACGAAAGUUAGGGGAUCGAAGACGAUCAGAUACCGUCGUAGUCUUAACCAUAAACGAUGCCGACCAGCGAUUAGGAGACGUUGAAUACAAAACACCGCUGUUAAUCCUUUCGGGGGUUAAUAGUUGGUGAAUGACUCCCCUAGC